GAGGCCAAACUUUGAGAAAAACUAGCCUUCUCCCCCAGUUUUUCUGCCACUUCCUCUACCAUCGCGACCUCAGCUUCUACAGCCACCAACCACCUCGUCGCAGCUUCUCCACCGACAACUCCACCAUAAGCCACCAGCAUGACCACUAGCCGGCCACCUCCACCAAAUAAUUAGUGGCCUAGAACCUUCCCCUUGAAGAAAGAGUGGGAGAACAAGGUCACGAUCCCCAAAUAAUUAUUUUCAUAUCUUUUUAUGUCUUUUUUCUUAAAUUUUCCUUUCCCAAAUAAUUAGUGGUAAGAUUGUAAAUUAUAAUAGAAUAAAAGGUAUGUAUUUUCUAGUUAAAUACUCUUAAGAACUUCAAAUAUAUAGGAUGAAAAAUAAACAUUAAUUAUUAUUUUCUACUUUUUGAUGAAUUAUGUAUUUUGUUUUUUACAAUGAUUUGGUUUUGCGAUUGUUUUCUUUUUCUAUAAAACAAACUUUUUUUUAAAAAUAAAUUAUAGUAAUGUAUUUUAUAAUCUUGCAAUAAACAAUAUAUAUAUAUAUAUAUAUAUAUAUGAGAAACUAUUUUCUUAAAGAAACUUUUUCCUUAAAGUUAAGUGGCGACUUCUUUUAAUUCUAUCAUGAGAAGUUAUUUCUUAGUAGUCCUUUUACCUAAAAACUUCACAUACUUAUAAGUUUGUUUAUACUUUUGAAGAUGAAAGGGGUGUUUGGCCUCGUAGUUGAAUCAAAUUUUUGAAACAUUUUGAUAUUUUUUGCUUUAAAUUAAUUUUUUUAUAUAAUUUUAAUGUGCUGAUAUCAAAAUAAAUUUUAAAAAAUAAAAAAAAUUAUUUUGAUGCAUUUUCAAAUGAAAUAUCAAAUGAUUAGAUGUAUACUUAAUGAGGUGAGAGUAAAUAAAAUACGCCAAUGGUUAUUUUUAUUUUUUGUUUUACAAGAUUUGCAAGUCGGCAGAGUUAAUAAAUUUCUAAAAAGCUAAAAACUCACCAAGAUAGAGAUUUAUUGGUGACUUGGCUCAUUUUUCUUCCUUGAAGUAAUGUCCAAGUAAAUAAAAUAAGCACCAAUGAAGAGUGGAGUAGCCUUCAAGCUUUCUAAAUUUGUUCAUCAAGGUAGUUACUUCGUUGCUCACCAAGUGUUUUUGCCAUUAUAAAUAAGUGGGAAGACGAGUAGUUUUAGGGUGUAAAAAAUAUAAAAAUCGAGAGUUCUUUUUAGUAUAAAAGUGGAUGUAUAAGGGAUUUUGGGAAUAAAUAUUAGACAUAAAGAUCAUAAUUAUAUUCUUGUACUAAUUUAUCUGAGAGAAAAGAAGGAUUACAUUUGGGUUGUAGAUAUAGAUAUAGUUUUGCCGAAUUACGUUAAAAUCUUGUGUGUCAACUCUUUAUUCAUAUUCGUUAAUUUUCUUUCCAUUAAAUUGGAUUGUUCAUGGUAGUGUGUAUUGAAUCUUAGUUUCAUAUUCCCUAACAAUCAUCUUUGUUAUUUCAUGAUUGAUAAAGAGACAAGAAUUUUGCAUUCUUAGGUUUCAGGAUAGUGUGAGGAGAAAGUUCCUACUGAGAGAUAUGAUUGAUUGAGAUCUCUUUAUGAAGUUAAGAGGUAAAGUUGACUAGUGAUAAUUUUACACAAGCAUUGGCCAUAUUUUUUCAAGAUUAUUUACUAAUUCAAGUAAUCUAAAUCUUUCAAAUAAAUAUAAUGAGGACUAAGGAAGUAGGUGAAGUUACAAGGCUAAAACUUCACCACGGUGGAGAUUUAUUGGUGAUGUAGAUCUUUCUUUCCUCGGAGUAAUGGCCAAAUAAAUAGAAUGAGGACUAAGUAAGAGUGGAGUAGCCUCCGAGCUUUGUAGAUUUGUUCACCAAGAUUGUUCCUUCUUUGCUCACCAAGUGUUUUUGCUAUUAUAAAUGGAUGGUUUUAGGAUAUAAAAAACCUCAAGGGAUAAGAUGUUUUAUUUGAGUGUUAUGGUUGGUGUACAAGGGAAUUUGGGAUUGAAUUUUGAAUAUUAAAAUCACUAUCAUAUUCAUGUACUAAUUUCUCUCGUUGAAAGGAAUAAUUACUCUCGUGUUGUGGAUAUAGAUAAAAUAUUGUUAAACUAUGUUAAAUCUUGUCAUCUCUUUAUUAAUCUUUGUUAUUUUUUUUUAGUGAAUUGGAUUGUUCGUGAUAGUGCGUGUUGAAUCUUAGUCCUAAAUUCCCUAACAUAAUAUCAUAAAAUAAAUUCCUUAAAUAAAACCAUAGCAAUCAUAAAAUAAAGCCUAAAAUUUCAAUAUAUAAAUUAAAUUGAAAAAUAUAAUUACAAAAUACUAAGUGUGUUUGAGAAUGACAAUAAAUUUGUAUUUUAAGGUUUGUAAAUAUAUAGAAAUCCCUUUUACAAAUGAAAAUAUUGGAUAAGAUGAUGAGGUGGAUGAACCUCUUAUCGCCUUCAUAAAACUAUAGUUGUAAGAUGAGAAAGGGCCUAGCAGGUUAAUUUGCUGACCUACAAACUUAAGACAUGAACUAGACAUAGUUUACUAUAAAACUAUCCAUGAAGUUGACCUUAUCAAACUUAAAAGACCUAUUAGGUUAACCCGUGAUCCAGGUGACCUGAUCAAAACUUAUGUGAGAUUCAAUUAAUUUUUUUUAAAUGAUAUUGUUUUUUGUUUUUUUAUAUAUAUCUAAAAUGAUGCUAUUUUAAAUUGAAAAAAAAUUAAAAACAAUUGAUUUGUUCAAUCAUGAUUCAAGCUGGAUUUUAAAACUAAGAGUAACAUUAAUUUAUGAUUAUUCUUUGGUUUGCCAAACAAAUCAAAUAAAAACCCAACUUGUACUGAUUAUCUUUUCCUUUUAAAUUCAAGAUUAGCAAUUUUCAUGAAUAUGUCAUGCUAUUGUGAGCGUAUAGUAUUAUUAUUAUUAUUAUUAAUGCUGUGGUUUUUUCUUCUAAUUUCUCAAAAAGUUUAAUUCGAAAAUGUUAUCCAACAAAAUCUGCAGCAAGUGGUAGUUUGACCUCCGAUCAUCCGACAAUCUAUUAUAGCCAUGUGUUGCAUGACAAUCAUUUAGCAGUGGUUCUAGUGGGCUUAGAAGCACAUGUCAUGUUUGCUAUGUUAGAAUUGAUUGUGAAUGGUCAUCAACAGAGUCAACCAUUUUAAAGGUACAUAAAUCUAUUUAUUUAUAACUUGUUAUGUGCAUCUGUGCAUAAUAAUCAAAUUUAGAAAAAAACUUCAAUAAUACAUUUCUACAAAUGCAGGAAUUUUAUUUUAUUUUAGCAUAGAAGGAGUUUGAGAAUUUAAUAACGUUUGUUUUUCAAAUUAUUUUUUACUAAAAAAUACAUCAUAAUAAUAUAUUUUUUAAUUUUUUAAUAUUAGUAUAUCAAAACAAUUCAAAAACAUUAAAAAAUAAUUUUAAACAAAAAAAUACAAAUUUUACACAAACUCUAUUGGAACGCAAUACCAAACGAAACGAAGUAAUAGUUGCAGUUAUUUUCUUUUUUCCCUUUACAUUUAUUUUUACAUUUUUUUUCUCGAAACAACAGAAAAAUGAAUUUACAAAUUUUUAAAACUUGUAUUGUGACAACAAAUAUUAGCACACCUAGUAAAAUUGGAGGGAAAUUAAAAUGGAUUGUUUUUUAUACAAUAACGACAAGCAUUCAACUAAAAUGGGCAUGCAAGGAAUGAAUAUAACAAGAAGGAAUCUUCUAUUUUUAAGAUCAAGACUGCGUUUUACAUGUUAUCAACUUCAAUUGGGUAUAGUUUUGAUCCAAUGAUGGAACUUUUCUUUUGUUAUUUAGUAGGGGCCAAAGGGCUAUAGAACUUAAUGGGAAGGAAUGCUGACAUACACAAAUCUUAGGGAAAUGUCUGUGUGCUGACCAUUUCUAGCAAGCAGUUCAUUGUAAACUAUGCUCUUGUUAGCUUAAAAAGAGAGCAAUUAAUUAUAUGCUUCGUUGUGCAAUCCAUUACCAUUGUAAGAGCUAAUCUCCCAAUUUUUUCCCCACUUGAUCUUUCUCAGAAGUUGUUCUGAUAGCUGUUCUGAUGUUGCUUACUACACAUUCUUGUGUCAAUCUUUGACAUCAAGAAGCUGGAGCUUGAGGUCAUAAGGG
This 4045-nucleotide long non-coding RNA is filed under the name Populus trichocarpa (black cottonwood). RNAcentral describes it as "long non-coding RNA (PTRI_LNC003476)". Lineage: Eukaryota; Viridiplantae; Streptophyta; Magnoliopsida; Malpighiales; Salicaceae. The record is from RNAcentral.